This is a long non-coding RNA of Aethalodelphis obliquidens (Pacific white-sided dolphin), 822 nucleotides long. RefSeq lists it as uncharacterized. The record is from RefSeq and is a predicted model, not a curated record. The transcript is spliced from 3 exons. NCBI's taxonomy places the organism in Eukaryota, Metazoa, Chordata, Mammalia, Artiodactyla, Delphinidae.
CAUGGAGCUCUUGGGAUUCCCCCCUGGCCGGCCUGGCUUCCAGCGCCCCCCGCCCGGCCGCCUCUCGGAGCCGCCGCCCGCCGCGCGCGUCCCUCGCCUCGGCGUCUGCCGCUCCCCCCCCCCCCCCCCCCCGCGGCCCGGGCGCCUCUUCCCUCCCCCGCGCCCUCCCUGGGCCUCUCCCGCCCCCGCCCCCCCUCCGUCUUCUCCGACGCGGGUGUGUGGAGCUGCAGAGCGGAGCUCGCCGCCCCCUGCCCCGGGACAUUUCUCUAGAGGCCGCGGCCCGGGGUCGCACAGCGGCGGGAUGUGAGUGUGGAGGGGACGGGGCCCGGGGAGCUUUGACAUCGGGGCCCGGGAACGUGGCCCGAGCCGCUCCCGCCGCUUCAUUUUCCUCUCCGGGAAGGCACAGACGUUAUUUUUUCUGAUCGUCCGGCCCCGGCCGGUGAAUAGGGGCCCUCAGCCGCGAAGCAGGCCCUCUUCACUGGAGGUACCCAGCGCGCCCCCGGCCGCAGCGCUGUCUGUCCGCCCGCGGGACUCCCGCUCAGGCUGGACCGGGAUCCCCGGAGAGGCUGCUCUGCCGCCAGCCCCAGAGCCUGGCUCCGCCACCGCCCUCCUGCCCGCCCCGCCCUCGCCUGGACCCCCAGCCUCAGGAAUCUCCCAAGUGGGUCUUCCUGGAUCUGCUUCUGAGCCCCCAGCAGAGUAAGACGUCUCCUAGGUCUUCCUGGAUCUGCUUCUGAGCCCCCAGCACAGCUCUGCCAGGAUCUUGUCUGCUGGGCUGUCAUUCCCAAGGGGCAUGGAGCCCAGGCUGGGACCUGGGAGAGAGAG